AUAGGCAAAAGACAGUAAAAUGAAAACAUUACAUCCAGAUAGACCUGCAUUUUCAAUAUAUAUAUAUUUUUUUUAACAGAAAAACGAGAAUAAAGCAUGCUCUCGAUUCAGGGGCUUAUAAUGUAGAACACAGAAAGCCCAAGGGCGAUUAACAGACGAUUGAAUAAUGACCAAUGACGAUGUUCAGAAAUUUAGAAGAGCUCCACAGUAUGAAAGCAAUCAGAUUAUUCAGAGAUGAGAUUCAGCAAAUGAUGUUAUUUGUAGGCCACAUUCAAGUUUGAUGGUUGAUAAAUUCAUGUCUGUACUCAGUGAGUGCUUCAGAGGUUUUUGUUGAGGUGAAUCUACUUAAGAUUCAAUUGACAAUGAGUGACGCAAGGUCAAUCUGAGCAAACCAAACAUAAUUUAUAAGUUGUAUACAGCGAUAAGUUUGAAAACGUUUCAAUUUUUGCAUACCUGAGCAAGGACCUGAGCAACAAAGAGCGAGUAGUGAUGAUGAGUUUGUGAGCAGGACGUAGACUUAUGUAAAACUCGAUUCUCUGUCUCAUGGAUAUGCAGCUCAGAAGGUCGCAGUUUGAAACCUUGUUUGUACCUUGAAGAACUGUAGAGAGUCCGAGAACGUGUCCAUGUUGAACUGAGAUAUUCCAUCAUUGUGCCAUGGUCUUGUUUUAACUGUGGUGGGAAUUUCAAGAUGUUUGAAAAUUAAUUGAUCAAUACUGACAUACUACUGACAUAUUUUAUUAAUCCCUUUCAUUUCUGGAGCGGCUGUAGCAUUGUUGGGUCCUGAAAGUGCUAAUCUUACAUAAGGGCCUUGCUACGGUUGUUUUUGCACAGUGGAUAAAAGUGUGGGCUAUCAAUAUGUAGACCUGGGUGCAGUUCCCGGUCAUCUGUUUGUGUCCUUGGACAAGACACUUCAUCUGCAUAGUUUCAGAGCCUUGGCUGUGGUAGUAUCCUGCUUUGGACAAGUGUUCUAUCCAGGGGCAGUUGCAGACUUGAAACCAUUUCACCUUGGCAUACAAAGUUAAGCACCAACACCAAGGGGCUUCGGGGCCCAGAGAGGACCAACGUGAUACAGUUCCGGCACAUUACAUCAAACUGUCUGCUAGAUCACAUUCAGGCUAAGUGUGAUCUUCACACGCCAGUAUGUCAUGGUUUUAGACUGUGAUCUUCUGGCAUGCAUAUCCCCAGAGAGCGGACAUGAUUCUGAAGAUGGCUGAAGGGUAACAGGAGUGUAGUGUUCGUUUAAUUUGAGUGAAGAGGUGUGCAAAACAGGUGUGGCACGUUUAACAGGAAGGGUAUGGUGCAGUUCAGUUUAUCCUCAUUAGAAGUGAGGCAUCUGCAGGAAAAAAAAAUGAUUAAAACUCAACUGAAGUUUGCUGGUGAUGUGAGAAACACGGUGUACAAAACACAACAUGUAGUGUGUGUGUGUGUGUGUGGACUCUUUGGAGUAGAGAACAAAUGAUGUCAGCAAGCCACGAAUGUAAACCAAGAGCUGUUUGGGCACUUGGCUGGCAGAUCUGUGGCAAUUCAUCAAGAGGAGUGGCAUCACACCCAUCAGAGGUCACGGGACUUUUGCUGUCAGAUGUUUGCAUCUCAUCUCCAACUGCAAACCAAGUGACAGUGAAAGUCACAAAGAUCCAAGGAUGACUUUGAAAGACCAGCCUGAGGAAAAACAAGAUUCACUGCAAGACAAACGGCUGGAGUUUCAUGCUUGAUUUAUUCAUAUACUGACUGACACUGCAUUUAUUUAUUGUUUGUAUUUAUUCAUGGGGCAGCUGAAUUUUGCAGGCUAUACGCCUGCAUAAUUUAGCCUACAUUGCUAAGGUGAUUGGGCAGGUGCUAUUGAUGGUUUGUGCGUUUUAUUGCUUUCACAAGGAGGAAAAAAAUAGAAUGAAGUGAAAACUUACUAAUGGACAGUUGGACUACUGUGCCUUUACCAAAUAGGAUGUGUUCAGAAAAAAAAAAACACCUACAGGAUAUCAUGCUUUCAAUGCAUUUGUACUGCAAUUUGAUUGUUUGCUUGUAUUUCACAAAACAAACCCUACACAUUCAAUCAUGAAAGCGUACAUGUAGUCAGUAUUCAACUACUUCUAAAGUUCCAAGCAGCUUCAACACCAGCGGUAUUAUAAACUUUCCAAUUUCCAACUAUAACAUUCUGAUAGCUAUGUUUCAUCAUAACUGCAUACAUCGCCAACUUUCCACAUGAUACAGCAGUGGCUACUAUCAUUUUUAUUAGAGUGGACCCUUCCUGACCUGAUAGUCUGAACUGCACUCGUAGCUCGUGCAUUUUAAAACUUGAACAAACACAAACUGUAAUGUAAGGGAGGCAAUUAUUGUACCACCCUCUACUGCUGCUACUGUAUUCUAAUUCCAAUUCUGAUUUCUAGGUUGGAGGAGAUGCGCUCUUUAUGUGAAAA
Long non-coding RNA from Thalassophryne amazonica, 2414 nucleotides. RefSeq lists it as uncharacterized. The transcript has 2 exons. The record is from RefSeq and is a predicted model, not a curated record. Lineage: Eukaryota; Metazoa; Chordata; Actinopteri; Batrachoidiformes; Batrachoididae.